Non-coding RNA from Claviceps monticola, 86 nucleotides. NCBI's taxonomy places the organism in Eukaryota, Fungi, Ascomycota, Sordariomycetes, Hypocreales, Clavicipitaceae. The record is from the annotation of a GenBank genome assembly.
GGCCGCGUGGCCUAAUGGCUAAGGCGCUAGAUUUCGGUUCCCUUCCGAUUCUCUAGAGAUUCCAGGUUCGACUCCUGGCGCGGUCG